RNAcentral lists this ribosomal RNA (494 nucleotides) under uncultured bacterium. Its description in RNAcentral is "partial 16S ribosomal RNA". It matches the Rfam family "Bacterial small subunit ribosomal RNA", at positions 28 to 507 of the family's 1533-position model. The record is from RNAcentral.
GACGAACGCUGGCGGCGUGCUUGACACAUGCAAGUCGAACGGAAAGGCCUGCUUUCCCUUGUGGUUUGCGGGUACUCGGGUGGCGAACGGGUGAGUAACACGUGAGUGAUCUGCCCCCAACUUGGGUAUAAGCCUGGGAAACUGGGUCUAAUUCCCGAUAGGACUGCAGGGUGGUGCCUGUGGUGGAAAACGAUUUUCUAGUGGUUGGGGUUGAGCUCGCGGCCUAUCAGCUUGUUGGGGGGGUAAUGGCCUACAAAGGCGGCGCGCGGUAGCCGGCCUGAGAGGGUGGACAGCCACAUUGGGACUGGGAUACGGCCCAGACUCCUACGGGAGGCAGCAGUGGGGAAGAUUGCACCAUGGGCGGAAGCCUGAUGCAGCGACGCCGCGUGGGGGAUGACGGCCUUCGGGUUGUAAACUCCUUGCGACCGCGAGGAAGCCACCUGGUUGGAAGGGUGGUGACGGUAGUGGUAGAAGAAGCACCGGCUAACUACGUG